GGUUCUGAGUAAUCGCGGUCAGCAAUUGCUGGCUGAGGAAAGUCCACUCUCGCACAAGCUGAGAUGCUUGUAGUGUUCGUGCCCGGUGAAAAAAUAAGCCGAGGGAUUGUGUUACACAAUUACGGCGAAGGAAAUGGCUACGGAUUUUCUAGGCCUCAGUACUUCCUAAGGUGCUAUAGAGACGAUUAAUUCAAGAAAUUGAAUUACUGGAACGCAGUAAACCCCGCGAGCGGGAAACCCAAACUUUGGUAGGGGAGCUUUACACACGGAAAUUGAACCAAGUGUAGGGCAAGAAUCAUUAUGAUUCUUGAGAUAGAUGAUUACUACUUGAUUGUUAGUCCUGAUCUUUCAAUUAAGCACAAAACAUGGCUUACAGGA
Molecule: RNase P RNA, 378 nt
Filed under: Fructilactobacillus carniphilus
Lineage: Bacteria; Bacillati; Bacillota; Bacilli; Lactobacillales; Lactobacillaceae
Description: Fructilactobacillus sp. KI4_A6 RNase P RNA component class B
Rfam family: Bacterial RNase P class B
About the family: Ribonuclease P (RNase P) is a ubiquitous endoribonuclease, found in archaea, bacteria and eukarya as well as chloroplasts and mitochondria. Its best characterised activity is the generation of mature 5'-ends of tRNAs by cleaving the 5'-leader elements of precursor-tRNAs.
Source: RNAcentral